UCGUGUCUGGUCAAUAUCUUUCUUACGGAGGAACAUUAGAAUCUACUACUCCACACAAAGAUUGCCCAUGACCUAAGGGUGUGUCAUGACCUUGACCCAAGGUCAUUUGGGGAAGUUCAAGGUCACUGGAAGAAAAAUUUCAUAAUUCGUGACCGGUCAAUAUCUUUCUUAUGGAUAAACUUGGUAGGUUCUCAUCUCACACAAAGAUUGCCCAUGACCU
Long non-coding RNA from Saccostrea echinata, 220 nucleotides. RefSeq lists it as uncharacterized. The transcript is spliced from 2 exons. The record is from RefSeq and is a predicted model, not a curated record. Lineage: Eukaryota; Metazoa; Mollusca; Bivalvia; Ostreida; Ostreidae.